Myotis myotis is the source of this 783-nucleotide long non-coding RNA. RefSeq lists it as uncharacterized. The transcript is spliced from 5 exons. The record is from RefSeq and is a predicted model, not a curated record. Lineage: Eukaryota; Metazoa; Chordata; Mammalia; Chiroptera; Vespertilionidae.
CCCGGCCCGCGCGCCGGGAACAAAGACGCCCGCGAGCCCGUGGGGAGGACCCCCGCCCGCCGUCCGCCGCGCCUGCGCCCCGAGACCCCCGACAGGCCCGGGCGGGGACAGGGGCGCUGCGGUGGCGGGGCGCGCGCGCCGCUCGCAGUCCAGCCCGCGGUCCCCGUCCCGCAGCCGCCUCACGCGGCCACGGCCGAUCUUGUCACGCGCGGCCGCCGCGCGCCGGCCCGGCAGUCGGCCGCAGCCGCCCCGUCCCUGUCCCGCACAGGCCCGGCCGCAGCCGUGUCCUCACCCCCGCUCCUCGAGCGCCGCCCGCGAAGCCACCGGAGAGAGAGCCAUUCUCUAGAUUCGCCCCUGCAGUCUAGCUGCCCCUGUCACAGAGAACUGCCCAAACCAAAGACAUCUGAGAUCACAGUGGAGCCGGACAACCAGAUAUUGAGCCAGAGCAGAAUUAUUUAUACCACAUUUCAGAGAUGAAAAACCAAUGCAUGGAGAGACAUGUCCAAAAACACAGCUAGGAGGUGGCAGAGAUGGGAUUCAAACCCAGGCAGCCUGGCUCGAGUCAAUUCUGUGUUACCUCUCAUUUAUUUGGUGAAGUGCUGUCACAGGUUGGGUUUCUUCGGGAAGCAGAUUCUACAGAGAAAUCACUAGAGCCACGUUUGAGUCAUCUAAUUUCUGAAAGCACAUCACUUUGCUGCCUUCUAAGUUGAGAGCACUUUUGAAAAAUCAACUUUACUGAGAAAUAAUUUACCUAUAAUAAAAUGCAUCCAUUUUAAGUGUAAA